Molecule: ribosomal RNA, 253 nt
Filed under: uncultured bacterium
Lineage: Bacteria
Description: partial 16S ribosomal RNA
Rfam family: Bacterial small subunit ribosomal RNA
Source: RNAcentral
UACGUAGGGCGCAAGCGUUGUCCGGAAUUAUUGGGCGUAAAGAGCUCGUAGGCGGUUUGUCGCGUCUGGUGUGAAAACUCAAGGCUCAACCUUGAGCUUGCAUCGGGUACGGGCAGACUAGAGUGUGGUAGGGGAGACUGGAAUUCCUGGUGUAGCGGUGGAAUGCGCAGAUAUCAGGAGGAACACCGAUGGCGAAGGCAGGUCUCUGGGCCACUACUGACGCUGAGGAGCGAAAGCAUGGGUAGCGAACAGG